RNAcentral lists this ribosomal RNA (292 nucleotides) under uncultured bacterium. RNAcentral's name for it is "partial 16S ribosomal RNA". The record is from RNAcentral.
GGACUACCAGGGUAUCUAAUCCUGUUUGAUCCCCACGCUUUCGCGCCUCAGCGUCAGUUGUCGUCCAGAUAGCCGCCUUCGCCACCGGUGUUCCUCCUAAUAUCUACGUAUUUCACCACUACAUUAGGAAUUCCGCUAUCCCCUCCGACACUCCAGCUUUACAGUUUCAAAGGCAGUUCCAAGGUUAAGCCUUGGCAUUUCACCCCUGACUUGAAAAGCCGCCUACGCGCGCUUUACGCCCAGUGAUUCCGAACAACGCUAGCACCCUUCGUAUUACCGCGGCUGCUGGCAC